UCGAAAUAAACCUGAACAGGCUGUUGCUGGCCCUUCUAGGGUAGUGUGCACGCUUGUCAUUUAUUUGUUUAUUUUUCCACCUGUGCACCUUUCUGUAGACCCUUAGGAUUUUGGGACUGCUGUGCCAAGUGGCCAGCUUUUCCUUUGUCCCUCUCUAGGUUCUAUGUUUCUCACAUACUCCUACGAAUGUAAUAGAAUGUUGAUCUGGGUCUUUGAUGCCCAUAAAGUUAUAUA
RNAcentral lists this unclassified non-coding RNA (234 nucleotides) under uncultured Inocybe. RNAcentral describes it as "sequence contains ITS1". The record is from RNAcentral. Lineage: Eukaryota; Fungi; Basidiomycota; Agaricomycetes; Agaricales; Cortinariaceae.